UACGUCCGAUAUGAAUCUGAG
This 21-nucleotide unclassified non-coding RNA is filed under the name Mus musculus (house mouse). Its description in RNAcentral is "oocyte_clustered_small_RNA8848". The record is from RNAcentral. Lineage: Eukaryota; Metazoa; Chordata; Mammalia; Rodentia; Muridae.